Pelobates cultripes (western spadefoot toad) is the source of this 205-nucleotide non-coding RNA. Lineage: Eukaryota; Metazoa; Chordata; Amphibia; Anura; Pelobatidae. The record is from the annotation of a GenBank genome assembly.
GCAGUGUGUAGGAAGAUAUGUGCUUCUGGCAGUGACAUCACAGGCCAGCCUACUUAGGAAUACACUUAAUAAAAAACAGAUGUAGGAGAAACUCUGUCUCUUUGCCUGUACCUGACUGAACCUAAGAUGUAGUACCAGCUCUGACUUAACCCCAGCCAAAGGGCUGGGGCCUUGUAAGUAAUAUGAAUCCAUUGUAACAUUUAGC